CCUACGGGGUGCAGCAGUAGGGAAUUUUCCACAAUGGACGAAAGUCUGAUGGAGCAACGCCGCGUGAGUGAAGAAGGGUUUCGGCUCGUAAAGCUCUGUUGGUAGUGAAGAAAGAUAGAGGUAGCAACUGGCCUUUAUUUGACGGUAAUUACUUAGAAAGUCACGGCUAACUACGUGCCAGCAGCCGCGGUAAUACGUAGGUGGCAAGCGUUUGCCGGAUUUAUUGGGCGUAAAGCGAGUGCAGGCGGUGCAAUAAGUCUGAUGUGAAAGCCUUCGGCUCAACCGGAGAAUUGCAUCAGAAACUGUUGAACUAGAGUGCAGAAGAGGAGAGUGGAACGCCAUGUGUAGCGGUGGAAUGCGUAGAUAUAUGACAGAACACCAGUGGCGAAGGUGGCUCUCUGGUCUGCAACUGACGCUGAGGCUCGAAAGCAUGGGUAGCGAACAGGAUUAGAUACCCUGGUAGUC
RNAcentral lists this ribosomal RNA (465 nucleotides) under uncultured bacterium. RNAcentral's name for it is "partial 16S ribosomal RNA". It matches the Rfam family "Bacterial small subunit ribosomal RNA", at positions 338 to 795 of the family's 1533-position model. The record is from RNAcentral.